CCUCAGCAGCGAAGAGAAAUGUAUACAAAAGAGAAAAACAACAUAACAUUUGCAUAUUUACAGUGCUACCAAUCAGCAUCCACCCCCUUAGUAUAUAAGGUGUAGCACUCCAUCCUUCUUCCUCUUUCUGUAGCGACCUGAAGACCAGCCAAUAACCAAACAGUAAACUUGAACUGAAACUGGAACGCCGGAUAACAGCCGUUCAUCCAUCUCUUAUGGAACCACUG
Pelobates cultripes (western spadefoot toad) is the source of this 227-nucleotide non-coding RNA. Lineage: Eukaryota; Metazoa; Chordata; Amphibia; Anura; Pelobatidae. The record is from the annotation of a GenBank genome assembly.